GACUCAGUGAAAUUGAACUCGCUGUGAAGAUGCAGUGUACCCGCGGCAAGACGGAAAGACCCCGUGAACCUUUACUAUAGCUUGACACUGAACAUUGAGCCUUGAUGUGUAGGAUAGGUGGGAGGCUUUGAAGCGUGGACGCCAGUCUGCGUGGAGCCGACCUUGAAAUACCACCCUUUAAUGUUUGAUGUUCUAACGUGGACCCGUGAUCCGGGUUGCGGACAGUGUCUGGUGGGUAGUUUGACUGGGGCGGUCUCCUCCUAAAGAGUAACGGAGGAGCACGAAGGUUGGCUAAUCCUGGUCGGACAUCAGGAGGUUAGUGCAAUGGCAUAAGCCAGCUUGACUGCGAGCGUGACGGCGCGAGCAGGUGCGAAAGCAGGUCAUAGUGAUCCGGUGGUUCUGAAUGGAAGGGCCAUCGCUCAACGGAUAAAAGGUACUCCGGGGAUAACAGGCUGAUACCGCCCAAGAGUUCAUAUCGACGGCGGUGUUUGGCACCUCGAUGUCGGCUCAUCACAUCCUGGGGCUGAAGUAGGUCCCAAGGGUAUGGCUGUUCGCCAUUUAAAGUGGUACGCGAGCUGGGUUUAGAACGUCGUGAGACAGUUCGGUCCCUAUCUGCCGUGGGCGCUGGAGAACUGAGGGGGGCUGCUCCUAGUACGAGAGGACCGGAGUGGACGCAUCACUGGUGUUCGGGUUGUCAUGCCAAUGGCACUGCCCGGUAGCUAAAUGCGGAAGAGAUAAGUGCUGAAAGCAUCUAAGCACGAAACUUGCCCCGAGAUGAGUUCUCCCUGAGACUUUAAGUCUCCUGAAGGAACGUUGAAGACGACGACGUUGAUAGGCCGGGUGUGUAAGCGCAGCGAUGCGUUGAGCUAACCGGUACUAAUGAACCGUGAGG
RNAcentral lists this ribosomal RNA (892 nucleotides) under Salmonella enterica. Its description in RNAcentral is "partial 23S ribosomal RNA". It matches the Rfam family "Bacterial large subunit ribosomal RNA", at positions 2030 to 2916 of the family's 2925-position model. The record is from RNAcentral. Lineage: Bacteria; Pseudomonadati; Pseudomonadota; Gammaproteobacteria; Enterobacterales; Enterobacteriaceae.